CUGACUGUACCUGGGGAGGGAGGGAGGGAUUAUAUCCCACCUUUCAUCCAAAGAGCUAAAGGUAUGAUAGACACAUGGCUCUUUCCAUCUCCAAUUUCCUCCUCACAGUAACCCUGUGAGGUGGGUUAGGCUGAAAGGCUGUGACUGGCCUAAGGUCACUCAGUGAGUUUCUUUUUUGAAAUAUUCUAUAUUGGUUUUUACAAAUAGAAAAAAGAAUUUAUUUAUUUUUAAAAACAAUCAAUUUCUGAGAUUCUCUGAAUCUCGUUACUUCACCCCAUCCCUUGCAUGGUCCUCCACAAUUAGUCUACAACUACAUAUCAAUACAGGGACAUGGGUGGCACUGUGGGUUAAACCACAGAGCCUAGGACUUGCCAAUCAGAAGGUCGGCAGUUCAAAUCCCCGCGAUGGGGUGAGCUCCCGUUGCUCGGUCCCUGCUCCUGCCAACCUAGCAGUUCAAAAGCACAUCAAAGUGCAAGUAGAUAAAUAGGUACCGCUCUGGCAGGAAGGUAAACAGUGUUUCCGUGCACUGCUCUGGCUCUCCAGAAGCGGCUUAGUCAUGCUGGCCACCUGAUCUGGAAGCUGUACGCCGGCUCCCUCGGCCAAUAAAGUGAGAUGAGCAACGCAACCCCAGAGUCGGUCACGACUGGACCUAAUGGUCAGGGGUCCCUUUACCUUUUACAUAUCAAUACGUUCUCCACAAUUUUCAUUUCUCCAAGUCACCUUCAGUCUUCUUAUUUUUAUUUUUACAAGUGAUUCCUAAAGUCCAGCUAACGUUUUUAAUUGUUUACAAUGGUCUCCUAAAUAUAUUAUGAAUUUUCCCUGCUCUUUUUAAAAGCCCUUGUCUUCUUGAUUGUGGAGUCUCAUGGUCAAUUUUACCAUUUUAGCAUAGCCCAACAAUUUGGCUUGCCAUUCUUCCCUAGUUGGGACUGCUGUUUCUUUCCAUUUUUGGGCUAGUAACAUCUGUGCAGCUGUUGUCGCGUACAUAAGUAGUCUUUUCUGGUCUUUCAGAAUGUCGGUUCUUGUAAUUCCCAAUAAAAAUGCUUCUGGUUUUUUGAGAAAUGUUAUUUAAAAUUUUUUUUUUCCAGCUCAUUGUAUACCAUUUCCCAAAGUGAUUUUGUUAUCACACAGGUCCACCACAUAUGGUUAAAUGUACCCUCUUUUUCUUUACAUUUCCAGCAGAUAUUUGAACUUGUUCUGUUCAUUUUAAAUAACUUAGUAGGAGUCAAAUAUAUCAUUUUCAUAUAGUUUUCUUUCAGCGUACAACAUGCUGAGAAUUUCAGAUCCGUUUUCCAAAGCCUCUCCCAAUCUGCCAUUUGUAUGUUAUGUCCUAGGACCUUUGCUCAGUUUAUCAUAACCGAUUUAACCUGUUCAUCUUUUGUCUGCCAGGUUGCUCAGUGAAUUUCAUGGCUGAGGGCUGAGUGAGGAUUUGAACCCUCGUCUCCCAAAUCCUGGUCCAACACUCUUCACACUAACUCUCUAGAAAGCAAUCUGAUGAAUGAAACCCAAGCUUUAUUUGUUUGCAGUGCAACAUUAUUUACGGUUUUGUACGGGGC
Non-coding RNA from Podarcis lilfordi (Lilford's wall lizard), 1553 nucleotides. NCBI's taxonomy places the organism in Eukaryota, Metazoa, Chordata, Lepidosauria, Squamata, Lacertidae. The record is from the annotation of a GenBank genome assembly.